RNAcentral lists this ribosomal RNA (421 nucleotides) under uncultured Clostridium sp. RNAcentral's name for it is "bacterial SSU rRNA". It matches the Rfam family "Bacterial small subunit ribosomal RNA", at positions 355 to 794 of the family's 1533-position model. The record is from RNAcentral. Lineage: Bacteria; Bacillati; Bacillota; Clostridia; Eubacteriales; Clostridiaceae.
UGGGGAAUAUUGCACAAUGGGCGAAAGCCUGGUGCAGCAACGCCGCGUGAGCGAUGAAGGCCUUCGGGUCGUAAAGCUCUGUCCUCAAGGAAGAUAAUGACGGUACUUGAGGAGGAAGCCCCGGCUAACUACGUGCCAGCAGCCGCGGUAAUACGUAGGGGGCUAGCGUUAUCCGGAUUUACUGGGCGUAAAGGGUGCGUAGGCGGUCUUUUAAGUCAGAAGUGAAAGGCUACGGCUUAACCGUAGUAAGCUUUUGAAACUGGAGGACUUGAGUGCAGGAGAGGAGAGUGGAAUUCCUAGUGUAGCGGUGAAAUGCGUAGAUAUUAGGAGGAACACCAGUAGCGAAGGCGGCUCUCUGGACUGUAACUGACGCUGAGGCACGAAAGCGUGGGGAGCAAACAGGAUUAGAUACCCUGGUAGU